This 468-nucleotide ribosomal RNA is filed under the name uncultured bacterium. Its description in RNAcentral is "partial 16S ribosomal RNA". It matches the Rfam family "Bacterial small subunit ribosomal RNA", at positions 28 to 507 of the family's 1533-position model. The record is from RNAcentral.
GACGAACGCUGGCGGCGUGCUUAACACAUGCCAGUCGAACGGAAAGGCCCUGCUUUUGUGGGGUGCUCGAGUGGCGAACGGGUGAGUAACACGUGAGUAACCUGCCCUUGACUUUGGGAUAACUUCAGGAAACUGGGGCUAAUACCGGAUAGGAGCUCCUGCUGCAUGGUGGGGGUUGGAAAGUUUCGGCGGUUGGGGAUGGACUCGCGGCUUAUCAGCUUGUUGGUGGGGUAGUGGCUUACCAAGGCUUUGACGGGUAGCCGGCCUGAGAGGGUGACCGGCCACAGUGGGACUGAGAUGCGGCCCAGACUCCUACGGGAGGCAGCAGUGGGGAAUAUUGCACGAUGGGCGGAAGCCGGAUGCAGCAACGCCGCGUGCGGGAUGACGGCCUUCGGGUUGUAAACCGCUUUCGCCUGUGACGAAGCGUGAGUGACGGUAAUGGGUAAAGAAGCACCGGCUAACUACGUG